Molecule: ribosomal RNA, 309 nt
Filed under: uncultured Cortinarius
Lineage: Eukaryota; Fungi; Basidiomycota; Agaricomycetes; Agaricales; Cortinariaceae
Description: eukaryotic LSU rRNA
Source: RNAcentral
AACGCACCUUGUGCUCCUUAGUAUUCUGAGGAGCAUGCCUGUUUGAGUGUCAUUAAUAAUAUCAACCUCUUCAGCUUUUGCAUGUUGAGUGUUGGAUGUGGGGGGAGGUUUAUCCUUUUUGCUGGACUCUUUCUGAGGUCAGUUCCCCUAAAAUGCAUUAGCGAAACAAUUUGUUUUAUUGUUCAUUGGUGUGAUAACCAUCUACACUAUUGACGUGAAGCAGGUUUAGCUUCUAACAGUCCAUUAACUUGGACAAACUUUAUUAAAAAAUGUGACCUCAAAUCAGGUAGGAUUACCCGCUGAACUUAA